This 5170-nucleotide long non-coding RNA is filed under the name Malus domestica (apple). RNAcentral describes it as "long non-coding RNA (MDOM_LNC020429)". The record is from RNAcentral. Lineage: Eukaryota; Viridiplantae; Streptophyta; Magnoliopsida; Rosales; Rosaceae.
CCGAGUUUAAUUUCCAUCAAAAUAGGUGGAAUUUCACAAUUCCAACAACGGAGAGAAUCCCAAAUCCAUCGGAUGGAAAUCUUGCAGGCGGCAAAUUUCAUGAUUAGGGCGCCAAACUGGGAUGAUUGGCGCCAAAGUUUACAAUAAAAAGGGCUUCACUCUGUUAUAACUCACCAAUCUUAGAAGGGACGCUCAUGCUUCAUCUUCUUCCUUCAUUCUAGGUCAGCCUCUUCUCUCUUCUCUCUUCUUUCUUGAAUUAUUACGGUUCGAAUUAUUAUAGUAUACUCUAUCUCUGCGUGUAGGUUCAAAUCAUCAAGUGUAUUAUGUUUAAUGAGUUCUGGUGAUACUUAUAUGCUUGGGUGUUUAUUAAUUGGGUAUAAAUAUUAGUUGCGUUGCUUCGUCUGCGAAUAUGUGGGCUAUUAUCAUGGAUGCAGGGACUUGCUUCACAGUUGUGAAUUUUGGUGAUACUCAUAUGUUUGGGUGUUUAUUAAUUUUUUUUUUUUCCAAUUGAAUUGUGUAUUGGGUCUAACCUUAUCUGGGAAACAACUCAAGUCAAGAAUCAGAUUAUAUUCGUCUUGUUAAUUAGUUGAAUUAUGACCGAACCUACAUUUAAAACGAAAACAGGUUUAUUCCGUUUGAACCUUAAAACUCUCCAUUUGAGAAGUUCUGCCUGUGCUUCUGACUUUGUUGUUAGCCCACUUUAAAAUAUCAGCAUCCGUCAUCUCCUUUCCUUGGGAGUGAGAUCGUAGAUUUCUCAAAAGUUGAAGCAUAUUAAACCUCAUCAACUACCAUAGGAACGCAGAAAAAAAGAUGAAAACAAACUUUAGUAUUUGAUAACAAAUUAGAUUUAGCACAUAACCAGUUACUCCAGUAGAUAUGUUAAGCUCAAAAGCUAAGGGCAAAUUACCAAGUAUAAGUUUCUUGUUUCCCUGCACUAUAUCAUUUCCAGCUAUGUUCACUAGUAAGAAUUCUUUGUUCAUAUAUUCAAACAGGUAUGGAACAUACUGAUGUUGUAGAGAUGCUAACGAGGUUAAAGCGAAAGCGUGCUAUAAAUGAAGAGGAAAAUAGGAAAAAGAGGAAAAUUAUUGUCGGUACGAUUAUAUAUGUUAUUGUCAUUGUCAUGCAUUGGUAUAGUAAAAGUGUUCUUCUUAAAGAACCUUCAAAUGAUUGGGAUCAAGAAAGACAAUCUUUCCUCGGCCGAUUGUUUAAUGGAAAAGAUUCAACUUGCAUUGAACAAUUACGAGUUAGCAAGAGUGCAUUUAAAUGGUUAUGUGAGAUUUUACAAGGGAUUGGUGGAUUAGUUCGCACUAGACAUGUGUCCAUUGAAGAAUCUGUUGCAAUUUUUUUGCAUAUACUUGCCCACAACUUGAAGUUUAGAGUUGUCGGUUUACACUAUUAUCGUUCCAAGGAAACAAUUAGUCGGCAAUUUCACAAUGUGUUGCAUGCAAUGAUGAAAAUAAGUCAAGCAUAUGUGAAAUAUCAACCAUGCGUUAUUGGUAAUUCUGAAAGAGAAAAGUGGCGGUGGUUUGAGGUAAUCAAUUAGCACUUAAACCAAAAAAAUUAUGUAUUUGUUUGAUAACUUCACUAUCUUUUUAGACUUUAAUCUUUUUUUCGUUGUAUGACAUUUUUAUUUAGAAUUAUCUUGGAGCACUUGAUGGAACUCUCAUUCCAGUAACAAUAACGGCUGAGGAAAGACCAAGAUAUAGAGAUAGAAAGGGUGAUAUAUUCACUAAUAUGUUAGGAGUUUGUGGUCCAGAUUUAAGAUUUUUUUAUGUGUUACCUGGAUGGGAAGGCUCUGCAUCUAAUGCGCGUGUUUUGCGUGAUGCUUUACAUAGGAGUAACCGGUUUCAUGUUCCAAAUGGUAAUGUGUGAUACCAAUUAGUUCUAUGUUAGAUAAACAAAACUUUAAAAUGUAUCUAAAUUUGUUCUCUAAAUUUUUAUUGUAGAUAAGUAUUAUCUUGUGGACGCUGGCUAUACUAAUGGACCGGGGUUUUUAGCACCUUACCGUGGAACUAGAUAUCACUUGAAAGAGUGGGUUGGAAACCGUCGACCUGAAAACUACAAAGAAUUAUAUAAUUUGCGUCAUUCAAGGGCAAGGAAUGUUAUUGAGAGGGCAUUUGGAUUGUUAAAAAAACGAUGGAGCAUAUUACGCACACCAUCCUUUUUUGAUAUUAAAACGCAAGUUAGGAUUAUAAAUGCAUGUUGUAUCUUGCAUAAUUUUAUUAGAACUGAGCAAGCAGCUGAUCUAGUUUUAGAAGCUCAAGAUUUACAAUUUUUAGCAUCUGUGGACUCAGAGUUGUUAAAUCGUUCAACAAGAGAGGACAAUGAAAAUAACUCUGAUGGGAUUACAUCUGUUCAAGCUACUGCCGAAUGGACAGCGUUUCGUGAUACAUUGGCAUUGCAGAUGUUCCAUGAUUACCAAGCUCAGAGAGCUGCAAAUACUUCUUAAUCGAAAAUUAGUUGUUUUUCUUAGCAUGUUAUCUUUAACGUCUCAGUUAAUAAUUUUGUCAAUGACAUUAUUGCUACGAAAUGCAUUAGCUUUUAAAUUUUAUGGAAUGCCCUGGUUUUCAGAUUUUAGUAUCAAGCUUGGUGUUGUUUAAAUGGUCAUCUUAUUUUUCUUUUCUGUUAGUAUUAGUUUAGUUUUGAACAUGUACAAAGACAGCUUGAAGCAUGUACAUUUUUUUUCUUAAAUGUGUUGAGAUUUAGAGAAUGACUUGAUAUUUGUGAUCUCCUUGGUAGAUACUCUGAUUCUUGAUAUGCAUGUGUUUACGAAUGACUUAAAAUUUCAAUUAAUAUUUGUUUAAUGUUAGGAGAAAUGGAAGGAUCUGACAGAAAACCAGUAUGCAAACAAAAACCAAGGAGAAAGAAAGAGAACCAAGAAAUUGAAAAUGAAGGAGAUGAGAAUAAUUAUUUUAGAUGGAAUGUAGAUAUGGAACGUGUUUUGGCUGACAUACUUCGCGAAGAACGAAGAUUGGGUAACAAAGGAGAUGGUGGUUGGAAGACAACUGCUUAUAAUUCUGCUGCAUCUAUAUUAUCUACUCAAUUUGAUAUUCAUGUAACUGCUGAUAACAUUCGAAACCGUGUGAAGUCUUGGAAAAAGUUCUAUGCAGUAGUGAGUGAUAUACUAAGUCAAAGUGGAUUUAAUUGGGAUGCAACCAAAAAGAUGAUAAGUGUAGAUGAAGAUCAUGCCUGGCAAGAUUACGUGAAGGUAUGAUAAAUUCAUUAUUUUUCUAUUCUGUGUGUGAUAUUCUUUUAACUCUUCUUAUACUUACAGUUUGCUUUUUGAUUUUUAUGUUUUGAUUGGUAGUCACAUAGUGGUGCUAAAAGUUUUCAUUGGAAGGUCAUUCCAAAUUGGGAUGAUAUAGUGGAUUUGUGCGGCAAAGAUAGAGCCACGGGUGAGGGUGCUGAAACAGGUGUGGAAGCUUUUGAGAUUAUGACUCCUCCGCAUAUUGAAACUAAUCAUAUUGAUUUGGAUGGUGAUACGCAAGGUUUAGAAGAUAUUGAAAUUAUUAAUGAUAUUUCACCUACUUCAGCCAAUGGUCAGAAGACUCAAAGCAAGAGAAAGCCAACAAAUUUUGUUGAUGUGCCUCAUACAAAGAAAAAACUAACCACCCCUAAAGAUAUGAUUGCAGAUUCACUUGCCAAGAUGGCUUCAUCCUUUCAAGACUAUAUUUGUGCAGACACAAAGAAGCUUGAUCCAACAGAGGUAUAUGAUGAAGUAAAUGCAAUACCAGAUCUCAGUGAAGAAGAACAAAUCAAAGCAUGUGCUUGGUUGAUCGAAAAUGACAAGCAAUUUCUCAUGUUGAAGACACUCCCAGUUGAGAAGAAAAAGAAUAUGGUAUUAUUGUUUACUUCACGAGGCGCAUAGGAUUAUUUUCAUUAUAUUUCCCAUUUUAGUGUUUUUCUGUAAGAUUUAAGUUAGAAUAAAAGCACUGCAUGUCAGGAAAGUUCAUUGACAUUUGCACGUGUGCUUUAUUGGGAUUUUUCUACUUCAAUCAACUUUAUCAUAUUAUUGCAGACUCAUCACAUUAUUGUAGCUAUUAAUUGUUGGAACAUUUACUUUGAUUAUAUUGUCUUAGUGAAUGCUAAUACUCUGAUUCUUGAUAUGCUAGUGAUAUGCUUGAUAGCUGUGAUUGAUUCUUUAGCAAGGAUGUUUACAUAAAUACUUUCAUUAGAUUGUGCUGUGAAUGCUAAUACUCUGGUUGGUCAACUCUACUUUCUGGUUGUUGGUUUUGACAUCUGCUUUCUGAUUUGUAGUCAUCUGCUUUCUGCUUUCUGGUUCAAAAGAUGUGGAAGAAAAUUUGGUGGUCUUUGUGUUAGGUAUAGGAUUAAAAAGAAUUUGGAAGUGAGAUGCUUAAUAGCAUUUGUGCUGCAUUAUCAACCUUGGUGUUGUUUAUUAGGUUGGUGAAAGUAAUAGUACAAAUAAUAUUGAACAUAGCAGUAACCUGUUUCCUUUCCCUUUUGAUAGUUGCUUAUACCAAGGUUAGGGAUAUAUGGAAUCAGCUCAGGAGUUGUUUGAGGGAGUGAUAGAUUUAUAUGGAAUCAGCUCGGGAGUCCUUUGCGUCUGUAGUUCUGUUUCCUUUUGAUAAUGCUCGCAACAUAUUAUGUUUCAAAUGGCCAUCUCCACAUAUAUGUAUCCUUUUCUAAUUUUUUUCUGCAAUCGAAUAAUCUGAUACGGUGAUUGGUGUAUUUCGUAUGAGGGAGUGAUAGAUUUAUAACCAUUUUAACUUUUGAUUCAAAUUUGUAUUCCUCUAUUUAAUACAAAUUCUAGAGAAUAUCCAAACAAUGAAAUUUGGAAUUCCUGUCAUUUUGUAAUUUCUAUGUAUCCAACAUCCAAACGAUGAAAUUCAUUUAACGGGAAUUUAAUUACUGUCAAUUGUAAUUCCCGUCAUUUAAAAUUCUGUGAUAAUUUAGAAAUUCUCCAUCCAAACAUAGUGUUACUUUCUCAUUUUAUUAGCCAAAUCUGCUUAGCCCUUUUUUGAACCUUUCAGUGUUACAAUGCCCAUAACGUCUUCUAGAAAAAUGAUAUUAACAAUCCGUAAAUUGGUCCAGAAAAUAGACAUCCGUAGCUGUCCAAGCAUAUAAGGCUCAUUCUCUCAUUCAUUCUGAGCUGUUCGUAGCAUGCUUCCAAAGUCAGCUAAUCUGCACAGGCAGUUUUGACGAAUUUGUU